This 484-nucleotide ribosomal RNA is filed under the name uncultured bacterium. RNAcentral describes it as "partial 16S ribosomal RNA". It matches the Rfam family "Bacterial small subunit ribosomal RNA", at positions 28 to 523 of the family's 1533-position model. The record is from RNAcentral.
GACGAACGCUGGCGGCGUGCUUAACACAUGCAAGUCGAACGAUGAACCCGGAGCUUGCUCCGGCGGAUUAGUGGCGAACGGGUGAGUAACACGUGAGUAACCUGCCCUUGCCUCUGGGAUAACUGCUAGAAAUGGUAGCUAAUACCGGAUACGACCCUCGGUGGCAUCACCAGGGGGUGGAAAGAAUUUCGGUCAAGGAUGGACUCGCGGCCUACCGGCUAGUUGGUUAGGUAACGGCUCACCAAGGCGACGACGGGUAGCCGGCCUGAGAGGGUGACCGGCCAAACUGGAACUGAGACACGGCCCAGACUACUACGGGAGCCAGCAGUCGGUAAUAUUGCACAAUGGGCGCAAGCCUGAUGCAGCAGCGCCGCGUGUGGGAUGACGGACUUCGGGUUGUAAACCUCUUUUAGUAGGGAAGAAGCGAAAGUGACGGUACCUGCAGAAAAAGCACCGGCUAACUACGUGCCAGCCGCCGCCGUAA